CCAGGAUCGCGCCCUGGACCAAAGGCAGGCGCCAAACCGCUGCGCCACCCAGGGAUCCCAGAGAUUGGGCCCUUUUUCCAGUCUUCCUUGACAUCCAAUUUCUGCCUGGGAGAUGUGGACAGACCAAGUCCUGAGAUGAUGGGGUAAAAGGAAGAGAGGUCCUGGGGGCCAGCCAAGACAGAAGGAGGAUCUCAAGGAAUUCAAUGGUGCCCAUCUACAGUGGGGAGAGCAAUUUGCCUUCCUCAGUCUGCCAAUUCCAACUGCUAAUCUCAUCUGGAAACACCCUCACUGACUCACCCAGAAAUAAUUUUUCACCAAAUAUCUGGAGACCCUGUGAUCCAGUCAAGUUGACACAUACAAUUCACCAUUACAGUCACUAAGUUUUGGAAUAAUUUGCAAUGCAGCAAUAGACGACUGAUUCAUAAGGCUCCUAAACUUUCCCUCAAUCCAAGGUGAUGCUGUAUAGUUAAAGACUUAGCUCUUUCAUUCAAAAAGAAGCUAUUAUUCUCUUUGCAGUUAAGAAAAAUAAUUUAGAACAUUUAUUUAAGUCUACACAGUAGGACCUAGAUUUAUGGUGACAAUUAAAGGACCAAAUAAAUAGUACUUUUGUAAGACCAUUCUGUAUAAUACAUUGCUUAAGAGUUCUCUUUCCAGAAUGUGCUUUUAAUUACUACCAAGAAUAUUUUUUUCUUUUAGAAGAUAUGUGCAAUCCACGAAAACCUUUGUUUUUAAAAAAUAUUUAUUUAUUUGUUUGUUUAUUUGAGAAAGAGACAGAGAGUGAGCA
Long non-coding RNA from Canis lupus familiaris (dog), 784 nucleotides. RefSeq lists it as uncharacterized. NCBI's taxonomy places the organism in Eukaryota, Metazoa, Chordata, Mammalia, Carnivora, Canidae. The transcript has 3 exons. The record is from RefSeq and is a predicted model, not a curated record.